GAACGCUAGCGGCAGGCCUAAUACAUGCAAGUCGAACGGUGUCUUCGGACAUAGUGGCGCACGGGUGCGUAACACGUAUGCAACCUACCUUACAGUUGGGGGAUAGCCUUUCGAAAGGGAGAUUAAUACCGCAUAAGACAGUAGCUGGGCAUCCAGCAGCUGUUAAAGAUUUAUCGAUGUAAGAUGGGCAUGCGUCCAAUUAGUUAGUUGGCGAGGUAACGGCUCACCAAGACUUUGAUUGGUAGGGGAACUGAGAGGUCAAUCCCCCACACUGGCACUGAGAUACGGGCCAGACUCCUACGGGAGGCAGCAGUAGGGAAUAUUGGGCAAUGGACGCAAGUCUGACCCAGCCAUGCCGCGUGCAGGAUGAAGGCGUUAUGCGUUGUAAACUGCUUUUAUACAGGAAGAAACGACUCUUGCGAGAGGCAUUGACGGUACUGUAUGAAUAAGCACCGGCUAACUCCGUG
RNAcentral lists this ribosomal RNA (467 nucleotides) under uncultured bacterium. Its description in RNAcentral is "bacterial SSU rRNA". It matches the Rfam family "Bacterial small subunit ribosomal RNA", at positions 31 to 507 of the family's 1533-position model. The record is from RNAcentral.